This 253-nucleotide ribosomal RNA is filed under the name uncultured bacterium. RNAcentral's name for it is "partial 16S ribosomal RNA". It matches the Rfam family "Archaeal small subunit ribosomal RNA", at positions 474 to 727 of the family's 1478-position model. The record is from RNAcentral.
UACCCGCAGCACAAGUGGUGGUCAUUAUUAUUGGGCCUAAAGCGUCCGUAGCUGGCUUGUUAGAUGCCUGGGUAAAUCGAUGCGCUCAACGUAUCGAAUUCCGGGUAGACCGGCAAGCUCGAGACCGGGAGAGGCGUGAGCUACUCAAGGGGUAGGGGUAAAAUCCUGUAAUCCUUUGGGGAGGACCAGUGGCGAAGGCGUCACGCUAGAACGGCUCUGACAGUGAGGGACGAAGCCCUGGGGCGCAAACCGG